This 401-nucleotide long non-coding RNA is filed under the name Canis lupus dingo (dingo). Its description in RNAcentral is "lncRNA (ENSCAFG00020007375.1)". The record is from RNAcentral. Lineage: Eukaryota; Metazoa; Chordata; Mammalia; Carnivora; Canidae.
UUUAAAUCUGCUGCAUGGGUCUUACCCUUAGUGGUUAUUCCUCUGUGAAUCUGGUUAUAAAUUUUUAUAUUUUUGUUGUGUUUUCACAGGUAUUCUAGUAAUUAGAAAAAAAACUGCACCAAGGACAGCUAACCAAAUACCGUAUUGGCUGAGAAAACAUGGCUCCGGUGUAGAUACUCAGACUGAAGACUGCUUCAGCUGUACACACCCCUGAGGUGAGGCACCAGCUCUGUGAAGGCCGUGAACUGGUCCUAGAAACGUGAAGAUUUAUUAAAACAUUCUCGAGAUGGCCCAUGUGUAGCUCGGGUACAUUCUCCAGAGCCCUCCCUGCAGCUGAGCUGUCAAGGAAAAGACAACGUUGUUUAGAGAGAACAGCGAGGAUAAACCGGCUCCUCCUGGGA